GGCAGCAUAGCUCCGGUGGUUGAGCCCUUGCCUAGCAAGUGCAAGGCCCUGAGUUCAAGUCCCAGUGCUGCCA
Molecule: transfer RNA, 73 nt
Filed under: Dipodomys ordii (Ord's kangaroo rat)
Lineage: Eukaryota; Metazoa; Chordata; Mammalia; Rodentia; Heteromyidae
Rfam family: tRNA
About the family: Transfer RNA (tRNA) molecules are approximately 80 nucleotides in length. Their secondary structure includes four short double-helical elements and three loops (D, anti-codon, and T loops).
Source: Rfam by way of RNAcentral